GCCUCCAAAAAUUACCCAUAAUUCUGGUAAGAGGAAGCAGUUCUCAUAGUGGCUGAAAUGUAAUUACCCGCCACCCACAUUGGAGGGGGAUAGGUAGACAGAGGGGAGAUAACCUACAGGAACCAAUUUAUUGACUGAAAUAUGUACCUGGAAAAUAGCAUUACAAAGUUCUGCCAAUGUGAAGACAUCCAGGGUCCUGAUAUAUUCCAGGUCUGGGGGACACAAUCGGAGAAAUUGGUUGUUUUAUCAAGGCUUUGACUGGAAUGCUGUGCUUCUUUUAAAGAAUCGAAGUUGACUCAUAGAAACAAUGAAAUCCCUUGGGGAAUCUGGCUUCAUACCUUGUCUACACAGAGUCCUUGUACAAGUUUCUUGA
RNAcentral lists this long non-coding RNA (373 nucleotides) under Homo sapiens (human). RNAcentral describes it as "HSALNT0364687". The record is from RNAcentral. Lineage: Eukaryota; Metazoa; Chordata; Mammalia; Primates; Hominidae.